CGAGGAUCCAAGCGUUAUCCGGAAUCAUUGGGUUUAAAGGGUCCGUAGGCGGGUUUAUAAGUCAGUGGUGAAAGCCCAUCGCUCAACGAUGGAACGGCCAUUGAUACUGUAGAUCUUGAAUUAUUAGGAAGUAACUAGAAUAUGUAGUGUAGCGGUGAAAUGCUUAGAGAUUACAUGGAAUACCAAUUGCGAAGGCAGGUUACUACUAAUGGAUUGACGCUGAUGGACGAAAGCGUGGGUAGCGAACAGGAUUAGAUACCCUGGUAGUCCACGCCGUAAACGAUGGAUACUAGCUGUUCGGAGCGAAUCUGAGUGGCUAAGCGAAAGUGAUAAGUAUCCCACCUGGGGAGUACGUUCGCAAGAAUG
RNAcentral lists this ribosomal RNA (366 nucleotides) under uncultured organism. RNAcentral describes it as "bacterial SSU rRNA". It matches the Rfam family "Bacterial small subunit ribosomal RNA", at positions 527 to 896 of the family's 1533-position model. The record is from RNAcentral.